This 427-nucleotide long non-coding RNA is filed under the name Ananas comosus (pineapple). Its description in RNAcentral is "long non-coding RNA (ACOM_LNC016034)". The record is from RNAcentral. Lineage: Eukaryota; Viridiplantae; Streptophyta; Magnoliopsida; Poales; Bromeliaceae.
UUUCUCUUAUACGAAAUUAUAAUGUGAAAAGAUUAAUUUUUGAAAAAACUUCAAAUACCACCCAUGUGUUUCGCAUUUUUUUUAUUUUAGUACCAUGUGAUUUAAAGUGUAUCACUUUAAUAUCCCGUGUUUUUAUUUUUCUCUUUUUAUUAUCCCCUCUAUUAUUUUUUUCGUUAAAUCAGUGACAAACUUAAAAUUAAAAGGUACUAAAGUGAAUAUUUGAUAAAUCUAGGUCGGAUAUUUAAAGUUUUUUGUAUAUAAUUUAACGAAAUAUUAACGGAUGAGCUGACGAAAAAAAAAAAUAAAAUAAUAGGAUACUAAAUUGAUACACUUUAAACUAUAGAGUACUAAAUAAAAAAGUGUAAAACUACAAAGAUGGUAUUUAAAGUUUACUCUUAAUUUUUUCUUAUAUGAAAAGAUGAAAAGA